Molecule: non-coding RNA, 2134 nt
Organism: Manis javanica (Malayan pangolin)
Lineage: Eukaryota; Metazoa; Chordata; Mammalia; Pholidota; Manidae
Source: RefSeq, a predicted model, not a curated record
AAAUUUAAGUUGAAAAAAUGUCAUGAAUGUCAUUUUAAGAGUGUAUCAUUGAAACAGUUUAAGAACCUGCUUGUUUCAGGGCAAUGAGAGGAAAAAGGCAUUAGCUCAAACUUCAUUAGAGAACUUCCAAAGACACUAUUAAUUUAAGGGAGUCAUUUAAUCAAUAAAAAUAUUAACCAUAUCAUCAUGUGCAAUAGUUUGAAUCUGGAUACUGUUAGGUUUCAUAUGUGGUUUGUCUUUUUAUGUCCUUUGUGUGUCCAUGGAUCAAGUAGGGAUGGUGGAAGCCACAUGGACUUCAUGGAGUAACAGCAGCUGACCAGAGCUGCGAGUGGCUCUGAGGAGGCAGUGCUUCCGGCGGGAGCUGCGCCAACAGAGGGUUCAUGCAGCAUUUCUUAAUGCUGAAAAUCAGAAAAUAGACACAAUAAAUUUACUUGAUCAGAAUGAAAAGAGGAAUCACACACUCUGAAUCAAACUGGAAUCACAUACUUCAUGUCCGGGUGGAACAGAAAUCACUACAAAAUAUUCAAGAGGGACAAUACUGUGAACUGCACUAAGUAAAACACAACUAAAGGUGAUUUUUGUGGUUUUAGUAUGUACUCUAGGUAGGAAAAUGAGAUUGCUUUUGCAACGGUUUUUGGGGACACUUUUGAAGUGUUUGUAUCAAGAUGUCAAAAUGUGUUGGCUAGUAGGUAUUUCAUGAGACUAUCAACACAGAAACAGGACACAAGUUCAAGUACGACGACAGCAGCGAUGCUUAUUCUGGAUUAUACCUUGUUUAAAAAACGGCCUAUAGGAAGAGUUCUUCUGUCAUGACAUGAAGGGGCCCCGUGUCCUUCAGAACUCCGCUCUCUCGGCUCCCUUCCCAUGCUGUGCUCAGUGAGCGGUUCCAGCCCCUUUCUUCUGUUCCCCGUCAGCAUGGAAUGAUAACUGGUUUUAAAUGGCUCUCAUGUGUUCACUUCUGGUUCUGACCAUCAGUGGCCCAGAGCACUGGCUCUACACACGGACAUCACUAGCAACAGUUUUACACAAGUCUAUAAAGGUGUUUUGUGCGAGAAUUUUUUAAAAGACUGCUUACAUAACAACCCAUCAUUAAUGUACAAAAAUGCUUUUAAGUGACUUGUAAUUUGAACGCUUGUGAUCUAUGCUUACUUAUAUAUGAAUAUAUGUAAGGCUGAAUAUAUAUGGGCAAAACAAGAUCUGUAAUAAGUCCACAUUACUAAGAGAAGCCUCCAGUGGGUUAGACCUUUGGUAUAAAAAGGGGCAAAAGCAGAGGUAAACCCUGGCACCUAGGGCCGCACAGCACUGGGGGGGCGGGUUUACUGUGGACAGACCAUUGCUUCACCACUAGAGGAAAAGGGGAGACAGCUGAUGUUAAGGAGGUAUAUACAGUGUUACAAAUCGGUUAAGUUUAGAAAGGCAAGAGAAGUGCAGUCCUUGGUUUUAUCAUAGUCUUCACAUUUAACUUGUAGUAAACAAUUAUCAAAACUGAUUUAAAAAUCAGAAGUUAAAUGUUUAUCUGAAAAUGACUAACCAUAAUUCCACUGAUAAUAGAGACAAUUAGCUUUGAUUUGAGUUGGUUACUAUUUCAGGUAAAUAGGCUCUUGCCACUUUUGAAUGACUGGCAGUCACAGGGACUUGCGGUGAGGCUCUAUAAAGGGCAAGCGGGUGGUGAGGCAUAUUAAAAUACAUCUUACGUCACAGGAUGGGAGGUGCAGGAGUGCAGGUCACCAGGUAGAACCCUGUGCUUUCAGAGAGGACACGAGGCCCAGGCCAAAGAGAGGGCAGGCGGCCUGGAGCCCUGGCCUCACACCUGGCAUGGACUCACUGUGCCCCUGGCAGCCCCGGAAGGCAGGACCUGGUUCCCACUCAGAUUACAAUCAACUUGAAAAGUUCUUCAUGUAGGAUAUCCUUUUACCAAAUCACUAAACUUUUCACCCAGAAAAGGCAACCUAAAAAGGUAUAAAAAAGUAGCUUUAUGACAUUGAAGUCCUUGUCUAGCCUCCCUUUGUCUUAAUUCUUAGGGUUGAUUUUCUCUAUAAUUUUUCCAUUAAUGAGCAAAGCCUUUAUUCAUCUCAUGAUCAAUGUGCAUACAAUUGUGGAAAUAAAAUCCUUUUUGUGGGUUCAAUUUUUAAAA